RNAcentral lists this ribosomal RNA (1495 nucleotides) under Staphylococcus aureus. RNAcentral describes it as "bacterial SSU rRNA". It matches the Rfam family "Bacterial small subunit ribosomal RNA". Lineage: Bacteria; Bacillati; Bacillota; Bacilli; Caryophanales; Staphylococcaceae. The record is from RNAcentral.
CAAGUCGAGCGAACGGACGAGAAGCUUGCUUCUCUGAUGUUAGCGGCGGACGGGUGAGUAACACGUGGAUAACCUACCUAUAAGACUGGGAUAACUUCGGGAAACCGGAGCUAAUACCGGAUAAUAUUUUGAACCGCAUGGUUCAAAAGUGAAAGACGGUCUUGCUGUCACUUAUAGAUGGAUCCGCGCUGCAUUAGCUAGUUGGUAAGGUAACGGCUUACCAAGGCAACGAUGCAUAGCCGACCUGAGAGGGUGAUCGGCCACACUGGAACUGAGACACGGUCCAGACUCCUACGGGAGGCAGCAGUAGGGAAUCUUCCGCAAUGGGCGAAAGCCUGACGGAGCAACGCCGCGUGAGUGAUGAAGGUCUUCGGAUCGUAAAACUCUGUUAUUAGGGAAGAACAUAUGUGUAAGUAACUGUGCACAUCUUGACGGUACCUAAUCAGAAAGCCACGGCUAACUACGUGCCAGCAGCCGCGGUAAUACGUAGGUGGCAAGCGUUAUCCGGAAUUAUUGGGCGUAAAGCGCGCGUAGGCGGUUUUUUAAGUCUGAUGUGAAAGCCCACGGCUCAACCGUGGAGGGUCAUUGGAAACUGGAAAACUUGAGUGCAGAAGAGGAAAGUGGAAUUCCAUGUGUAGCGGUGAAAUGCGCAGAGAUAUGGAGGAACACCAGUGGCGAAGGCGACUUUCUGGUCUGUAACUGACGCUGAUGUGCGAAAGCGUGGGGAUCAAACAGGAUUAGAUACCCUGGUAGUCCACGCCGUAAACGAUGAGUGCUAAGUGUUAGGGGGUUUCCGCCCCUUAGUGCUGCAGCUAACGCAUUAAGCACUCCGCCUGGGGAGUACGACCGCAAGGUUGAAACUCAAAGGAAUUGACGGGGACCCGCACAAGCGGUGGAGCAUGUGGUUUAAUUCGAAGCAACGCGAAGAACCUUACCAAAUCUUGACAUCCUUUGACAACUCUAGAGAUAGAGCCUUCCCCUUCGGGGGACAAAGUGACAGGUGGUGCAUGGUUGUCGUCAGCUCGUGUCGUGAGAUGUUGGGUUAAGUCCCGCAACGAGCGCAACCCUUAAGCUUAGUUGCCAUCAUUAAGUUGGGCACUCUAAGUUGACUGCCGGUGACAAACCGGAGGAAGGUGGGGAUGACGUCAAAUCAUCAUGCCCCUUAUGAUUUGGGCUACACACGUGCUACAAUGGACAAUACAAAGGGCAGCGAAACCGCGAGGUCAAGCAAAUCCCAUAAAGUUGUUCUCAGUUCGGAUUGUAGUCUGCAACUCGACUACAUGAAGCUGGAAUCGCUAGUAAUCGUAGAUCAGCAUGCUACGGUGAAUACGUUCCCGGGUCUUGUACACACCGCCCGUCACACCACGAGAGUUUGUAACACCCGAAGCCGGUGGAGUAACCUUUUAGGAGCUAGCCGUCGAAGGUGGGACAAAUGAUUGGGGUGAAGUCGUAACAAGGUAGCCGUAUCGGAAGGUGCGGCUGGAUCACCUCCUUU